This 497-nucleotide ribosomal RNA is filed under the name uncultured bacterium. Its description in RNAcentral is "partial 16S ribosomal RNA". It matches the Rfam family "Bacterial small subunit ribosomal RNA", at positions 28 to 507 of the family's 1533-position model. The record is from RNAcentral.
GAUGAACGCUGGCGGCGUGCCUAAUACAUGCAAGUCGAGCGAACAGACGAGGAGCUUGCUCCUCUGACGUUAGCGGCGGAGGGGUGAGUAACACGUUGAUAAACUACCUUUACGACUGGGAUAACUUCGGGAUACCGGAGCUAAUACCGGAUAAUAUAUAGAACUGCAUGGUUCAAUAGUCAAAGACGGUUUUGCUGUCACUUAAUGAUGGAUUCGGACCGCAUUAGGUAGUUGGUAAGGUAAAGGGUUAGCAGGGCAACGAUGCGUAGCCGACCGGAUGGGGUGGGCGGCCACACUGGAACUGUAACACGGUCCAGACUCCUACGGGACGCAGCGGUGGGGAAUCGUCCACAAGGGGCGAAAGCCAGACGGAACAACGCCGCGUGAGUGAUAAAGAUCUUCGGAUCUUAAAACUCUGUUAUUAGGGAAGAAGAAAUGUGUAAGUAACUAUGCACGUCUUGACGGUACCUAAUCAGAAAGCCACGGCUAACUACGUG